RNAcentral lists this ribosomal RNA (502 nucleotides) under uncultured bacterium. RNAcentral's name for it is "partial 16S ribosomal RNA". It matches the Rfam family "Bacterial small subunit ribosomal RNA", at positions 28 to 523 of the family's 1533-position model. The record is from RNAcentral.
GAUGAACGCUAGCGGCAGGCCUAACACAUGCAAGUCGAGGGGCAGCACAGAAACAGCAAUGUUUUGGUGGCGACCGGCGGACGGGUGCGUAACGCGUAUGCAACCUACCUUUAACAGGGGGAUAACGGAGAGAAAUUUCCACUAAUACCCCAUAACAUCGAUCAAGGCAUCUUGAUUGGUUGAAAACUCCGGUGGUUAAAGAUGGGCAUGCGUUGUAUUAGGUAGUUGGUGAGGUAAUGGCUCACCAAGCCUACGAUACAUAGGGGGACUGAGAGGUUAGCCCCCCACACUAGUACUGAGACACGGACCAGACUCCUACGGGAGGCAGCAGUGAGGUAUAUUGGUCAAUGGGGGCAACCCUGAACCAGCCAUGCCGCGUGCAGGAAGACGGCUCUAUGAGUUGUAAACUGCUUUUAAACAGGGAUAAAGCACAGUAUGUAUACUGUGUUGAAGGUACUGUAAGAAUAAGGAUCGGCUAACUCCGUGCCAGCCGCCGCAGUAA